This 34-nucleotide small RNA is filed under the name Arabidopsis thaliana (thale cress). RNAcentral describes it as "ATSL138490". Lineage: Eukaryota; Viridiplantae; Streptophyta; Magnoliopsida; Brassicales; Brassicaceae. The record is from RNAcentral.
CCGUCUUCGUCUUCGUCGUCUCCUUUCUUAUCAU